RNAcentral lists this ribosomal RNA (209 nucleotides) under uncultured bacterium. Its description in RNAcentral is "partial 16S ribosomal RNA". It matches the Rfam family "Bacterial small subunit ribosomal RNA", at positions 524 to 731 of the family's 1533-position model. The record is from RNAcentral.
UACAGAGGUCCCGAGCUGUUGUCCGGAAUUACUGGCGUAAAGAGCUCGUAGGUGGUUUGUCGCGUUGUCCGUGAAAUUCCCUGGCUUAACUGGGGGCGUGCGGGCGAUACGGGCAGACUGGAGUACUGCAGGGGAGACUGGAAUUCCUGGUGUAGCGGUGGAAUGACGCAGAUAUCAGGAGGAACACCGGUGGCGAAGGCGGGUCUCUG